This 2390-nucleotide ribosomal RNA is filed under the name Parasmittina aotea. Its description in RNAcentral is "partial large subunit ribosomal RNA". It matches the Rfam family "Eukaryotic large subunit ribosomal RNA", at positions 1345 to 3387 of the family's 3401-position model. The record is from RNAcentral. Lineage: Eukaryota; Metazoa; Bryozoa; Gymnolaemata; Cheilostomatida; Smittinidae.
UACCGCACCGUCGGGGCAAUGCGUGCGAAAUGCCAGGCCCCGACGAGUAGGAGGGCGUGUCGGUGGCGUUGAAGCGUAGUGCGCGAGCACGCGUGGAGCCGCCUUCAGUGCAGAUCUUGGUGGUAGUAGCAAGUAUACAAAUGAGAACUUUGUAGACCGAAGUGGAGAAGGGUUCCAUGUGAACAGCAGUUGGACAUGGGUCAGUCGGCCCUAAGAGAUCGGAAAAUUCCGUUCUGAACGGGGAGCUUGGAGAGCUGAGCGUGCCGAAUGUGGGCGAGCUGUCACGCGCACCAUGCGGAGCACGGGCCGGCCGGCCGCGCCGUCUGAUCGACUCGCCGCGCGCAAGCGCGAGCGUGCGAGAGAGCGGUCGCGAUGCUGUGAGUCGGGUCGAGAGCGUGCGGGCAGCAAAAACUCUCUUGCCUCUCUUCUGUUGAGGGAGCGAGAGAGCGCACACGCAAAUUCGGAGAGCACACGCCGAGCAAACCUCGCGCGAGCCCCGAUGCGAUCGAAAGGGAAUCGGGUUAAUAUUCCCGAACCUGGCAGUGGAGAUUGGGCCCUCGGGCCCCAGUGCGGUAACGCAACCGAACUCGGAGACGCCAGCGUCGAUCCCGGGAAGAGUUCUCUUUUCUUUGUUAGGAGCGGACUCCCUGGAAUUGGCUUGUCCAGAGAUAGGGACGUUGCAUCCGUAAAGCGUCGCGCCUCACGCGGCGUCCGGUGCAUCGGCGUUGGCCCUUGAAAAUCCGAGGGAGGCAGUGUAAUUUUCACUCCAGGCCGUACCCGAAUCCGCAGCAGGUCUCCAAGGUGAACAGCCUCUGGUCGAUAGAACAAUGUAGGUAAGGGAAGUCGGCAAAUCCGAUCCGUAACUUCGGGAUAAGGAUUGGCUCUGAGGUGCGGGCUGCUUCGGGUCGCGGCAAGAAGCGGAUCGUGCGUUGGUUGGACUGGGCGCGCUCUCGGGCGCGUUCGGACCGCCGCCAGCGCGCGUCCGUGGGAGGCCGUGGCUUUCGCCGGCGCGUGCUCACGCGCGCGUCGGCUUCGUUCGGCCUAAACGCACAGCACAGAACUGGCACGGACUCUGGGAACACGACUGUCUAAUUAAAACAAAGCAUCGCGAUGGCCGCUGGUCGGUGUUGACGCGAUGUGAUUUCUGCCCAGUGCUUUGAAUGUCAAAGUGAAGAAAUUCAACCAAGCGCAGGUAAACGGCGGGAGUAACUAUGACUCUCUUAAGGUAGCCAAAUGCCUCGUCAUCUAAUUAGUGACGCGCAUGAAUGGAUUAACGAUGUUCCCACUGUCCCUAUCUACUAUCUAGCGAAACCACAGCCAAGGGAACGGGCUUGGCAACUACAGCGGGGAAAGAAGACCCUGUUGAGCUUGACUCUAGUUUGACAUUGUGAAGAGACACGAAAGGUGUAGCAUAGGUGGGAGCUCUCACGGGCAACAAUGAAAUACCACUACUUCCGUAGUUUCUUUACUUAUUCAGUAAGACGGAGGGCGAGCGGCCGACUCGGUCGCUCGGCAUUCUGGCGUUGUAAGCCGCGCUCGGCUCCUCGUGAGUCGGCGGCGAUCCGCUCUGAAGACAGUGUCAGGCGGGGAGUUUGACUGGGGCGGUACAUCUGUCAAAAGGUAACGCAGGUGUCCCAAGGUGAGCUCAGCGAGGACAGAAACCUCGCGUAGAGCAAAAGGGCAAAAGCUCACUUGAUUUUGAUUUCCAGUACGAAUACAGACCGCGAAAGCGGGGCCUAUCGAUCCUUACGACUGCCCGGAGCUUGGGGCGUGAGGUGUCAGAAAAGUUACCACAGGGAUAACUGGCUUGUGGCAGCCAAGCGUUCAUAGCGACGUUGCUUUUUGAUCCUUCGAUGUCGGCUCUUCCUAUCAUUGCGAAGCAGAAUUCGCCAAGCGUUGGAUUGUUCACCCACUAAUAGGGAACGUGAGCUGGGUUUAGACCGUCGUGAGACAGGUUAGUUUUACCCUACUGUAAACAUGUCAUUACGCUGGUAAUCCUGCCUAGUACGAGAGGAACCGCAGGUUCAGACAAUUGGUUCAUAUGCUUGUUCGAUCCGAUCAAUGGUGUGACGCUACCAUCUGGCGGUUAAUGGCUGAACGCCUCUAAGUCAGAAACCGUCCCAACGGAAUAUCGGUGAUGAUACUCCGCAGCGCGCUGCUGCUGCUGGGAGGCAGCGAUAGUCGCGUCGCCUUCGGGCGGUCGCGGUGGCUUAGGCCAUGUAAAUUGACUCAUUGCCCGCGUGGCCACGGUUGCGCGGGUGUUCGAGGUCGACUCUCGACCCAUCAGUGUAUUGGCGUGGAACCAUUCGCAAACGACCUAGAUUGCGGCCAGCGUGUCGUACUCAGUAGAGCAGCCCCCACACUGCGAUCUGUUGAGACUCAUCGCUGCG